GAAUUUUGGACAAUGGGGGCAACCCUGAUCCAGCCAUCCCGCGUGUGCGAUGAAGGCCUUCGGGUUGUAAAGCACUUUUGGCAGGGAAGAAAAGGCUCUGGCUAAUACCUGGAGCUGCUGACGGUACCUGCCGAAUAAGCCACGGAUAACUACGUGCCAGCAGCCCCGGUAAUCCGUAGGGGGCAAGCGGUAAUGGGAACUACUGGGCGUAAAGCGUGCGCAGGCGGUUCGGCAAGAAGGAUGUGAAAUCCCAGGGCUUAACCUUGGAACUGCAUUCUUAACUGCCGGGCUAGAGUAUGUCAGAGGGGGGUAGAAUUCCGCGUGUAGCAGUGAAAUGCGUAGAGAUGCGGAGGAAUACCGAUGGCGAAGGCAGCCCCCUGGGAUAAUACUGACGCUCAUGCACGAAAGCGUGGGGAGCAAAC
RNAcentral lists this ribosomal RNA (422 nucleotides) under uncultured bacterium. Its description in RNAcentral is "partial 16S ribosomal RNA". It matches the Rfam family "Bacterial small subunit ribosomal RNA", at positions 359 to 773 of the family's 1533-position model. The record is from RNAcentral.